Molecule: ribosomal RNA, 753 nt
Filed under: Enterobacter sp. RKR-02
Lineage: Bacteria; Pseudomonadati; Pseudomonadota; Gammaproteobacteria; Enterobacterales; Enterobacteriaceae
Description: bacterial SSU rRNA
Rfam family: Bacterial small subunit ribosomal RNA
Source: RNAcentral
CAGGUGGGCGGCAGGACUACACAUGCAGUCGUACGGUGGACAGGCAGCAGCUUGCUGCUUUGCUGACGAGUGGCGGACGGGUGAGUAAUGUCUGGGAAACUGCCUGAUGGAGGGGGAUAACUACUGGAAACGGUAGCUAAUACCGCAUAACGUCGCAAGACCAAAGAGGGGGACCUUCGGGCCUCUUGCCAUCGGAUGUGCCCAGAUGGGAUUAGCUAGUAGGUGGGGUAACGGCUCACCUAGGCGACGAUCCCUAGCUGGUCUGAGAGGAUGACCAGCCACACUGGAACUGAGACACGGUCCAGACUCCUACGGGAGGCAGCAGUGGGGAAUAUUGCACAAUGGGCGCAAGCCUGAUGCAGCCAUGCCGCGUGUAUGAAGAAGGCCUUCGGGUUGUAAAGUACUUUCAGCGGGGAGGAAGGCGAUAAGGUUAAUAACCUUGUCGAUUGACGUUACCCGCAGAAGAAGCACCGGCUAACUCCGUGCCAGCAGCCGCGGUAAUACGGAGGGUGCAAGCGUUAAUCGGAAUUACUGGGCGUAAAGCGCACGCAGGCGGUCUGUCAAGUCGGAUGUGAAAUCCCCGGGCUCAACCUGGGAACUGCAUUCGAAACUGGCAGGCUAGAGUCUUGUAGAGGGGGGUAGAAUUCCAGGUGUAGCGGUGAAAUGCGUAGAGAUCUGGAGGAAUACCGGUGGCGAAGGGCGGCCCCCUGGACAAAGACUGACGCUCAGGUGCGAAAGCGUGGGGGAGCAAGC